UUGUAUCUUUCCUUUGAUUGAAAUCUUAUUUUGAAGUGCGUAGUAAUGUUAUAAAAACUUCCUUAUCUACUGAGGUUAAGCCACGUUUUGUAGAGUACACCAUUAUUAUUAUUAUAACUAUUAUUGUUAUUUCUACAUCAGAUGGUGUUUGUAAGUCUGGCUUAACCCAACUUAUUGAUUCAAUUUGUUGCAAAUUAUUUUGUGGUAAUUCGAAGUCAAACUCCUCUAAUGAGGCAAAAGAUUAAUGGGUGUUUGGCAUAAAAUAAAACGAAAUCUAAUUUCAAUACUAUUUCCAACGAUAACCAUUGCAUUGAUUUACGCAGAUUUGCGUCAUACCCGUUUGUGGAAAGAACAGGUUGCUAAAGAGAAAUUCCAGAUAGAAAAUUCAUAAUGAUAUUCAAAAAUCUUCAUCCCAUGCAAGUUAAAUAUCUGAAACAUAUACCAAUUUACUUGACUCCGCUAUACAUUGGUUAUGGGAUUGGCGCGUUCCUUGAAAACCAUGAAAAUGAAAGAAUGGCCAGAUUUCGUGAUAAAUCAGCACUUUAUGGUAGAGAAAAAAAACCGGGUGAACCACCGUCUUGGCCAUGAAUAUCGACCUUUACUCAACUAAUAAUACUUGAAAUUAAUUAAAUAACAAUGUAGAAAGUAUCAUUUAAAAUUUAAAAUACAAUUGAAAUGAUAU
Molecule: long non-coding RNA, 682 nt
Organism: Cotesia glomerata
Lineage: Eukaryota; Metazoa; Arthropoda; Insecta; Hymenoptera; Braconidae
Exons: 2
Source: RefSeq, a predicted model, not a curated record